AGUGAACGCUGGCGGUAGGCCUAACACAUGCAAGUCGAACGGCAGCACAGUAAGAGCUUGCUCUUACGGGUGGCGAGUGGCGGACGGGUGAGGAAUACAUCGGAAUCUACUUUUUCGUGGGGGAUAACGUAGGGAAACCUACGCUAAUACCGCAUACGACCUACGGGUGAAAGCAGGGGAUCUUCGGACCUUGCGCGAUUGAAUGAGCCGAUGUCGGAUUAGCUAGUUGGCGGGGUAAAGGCCCACCAAGGCGACGAUCCGUAGCUGGUCUGAGAGGAUGAUCAGCCACACUGGAACUGAGACACGGUCCAGACGCCUACGGGAGGCAGCAGUGGGGAAUAUUGGACAAUGGGCGCAAGCCUGAUCCAGCCAUACCGCGUGGGUGAAGAAGGCCUUCGGGUUGUAAAGCCCUUUUGUUGGGAAAGAAAAGCAGCAGGUUAAUACCCCGCUGUUCUGACGGUACCCAAAGAAUAAGCACCGGCUAACUUCGUG
Molecule: ribosomal RNA, 492 nt
Filed under: uncultured bacterium
Lineage: Bacteria
Description: partial 16S ribosomal RNA
Rfam family: Bacterial small subunit ribosomal RNA
Source: RNAcentral